RNAcentral lists this ribosomal RNA (433 nucleotides) under uncultured bacterium. RNAcentral describes it as "partial 16S ribosomal RNA". It matches the Rfam family "Bacterial small subunit ribosomal RNA", at positions 29 to 507 of the family's 1533-position model. The record is from RNAcentral.
AACGAACGCUGGCGGCAGGCUUAACACAUGCAAGUCGAACGCACCUUUCGGGGUGAGUGGCAGACGGGUGAGUAACGCGUGGGAAUCUACCCUUCUCUACGGGAUAGCUCCGGGAAACUGGAAUUAAUACCGUAUAUGACCUGAGGGAGAAAGAUUUAUCGGGGAAGGAUGAGCCCGCGUUUGAUUAGCUAGUUGGGGGGGUAAAGGCCUACCAAGGCGACGAUCCAUAGCUGGUCUAAGAGGAUGAUCAGCCACAUUGGGACUGAGACACGGCCCAAACUCCUACGGGAGGCAGCAGUGGGGAAUAUUGGACAAUGGGCGCAAGCCUGAUCCAGCCAUGCCGCGUGAGUGAUGAAGGCCCUAGGGUUGUAAAGCUCUUUCAGUGGGGAAGAUAAUGACGGUACCCACAGAAGAAGCCCCGGCUAACUUCGUG